AUACGGAGGGGGUUAGCGUUGUUCGGAAUUACUGGGCGUAAAGCGUACGUAGGCGGAUUGGUAAGUUAGAGGUGAAAUCCCAGGGCUCAACCCUGGAACUGCCUUUAAUACUGCCAGUCUUGAGUUCGAGAGAGGUGAGUGGAAUUCCGAGUGUAGAGGUGAAAUUCGUAGAUAUUCGGAGGAACACCAGUGGCGAAGGCGGCUCACUGGCUCGAUACUGACGCUGAGGUACGAAAGUGUGGGGAGCAAACAGGAUUAGAAACCCUUGUAGUCC
RNAcentral lists this ribosomal RNA (274 nucleotides) under uncultured bacterium. RNAcentral describes it as "partial 16S ribosomal RNA". It matches the Rfam family "Bacterial small subunit ribosomal RNA", at positions 523 to 796 of the family's 1533-position model. The record is from RNAcentral.